RNAcentral lists this ribosomal RNA (259 nucleotides) under uncultured bacterium. RNAcentral describes it as "partial 16S ribosomal RNA". It matches the Rfam family "Bacterial small subunit ribosomal RNA", at positions 28 to 285 of the family's 1533-position model. The record is from RNAcentral.
GACGAACGCUGGCGGCGUGCUUAACACAUGCAAGUCGAGCGGUAAGGCCCUUUCGGGGGGUACACGAGCGGCGAACGGGUGAGUAACACGUGGGUGACCUGCCCUCAGCUCUGGGAUAAGCCUGGGAAACCGGGUCUAAUACUGGAUAUGACUCCAUGACGCAUGUUGUGGGGUGGAAAAGCCUUGUGCGGCUGAGGAUGGGCCCGCGGCCUAUCAGCUUGUUGGUGGGGUGANGGCCUAACCAAGGCGACGACGGGUA